GACGAACGCUGGCGGCGUGCUUAACACAUGCAAGUCGAACGGAAAGGCCCCGCUUUUGUGGGGUGCUCGAGUGGCGAACGGGUGAGUAACACGUGAGUAACCUGCCCUUGACUUUGGGAUAACUUCAGGAAACUGGGGCUAAUACCGGAUAGGAGCUCCUGCUGCAUGGUGGGGGUUGGAAAGUUUCGGCGGUUGGGGAUGGACUCGCGGCUUAUCAGCUUGUUGGUGGGGUAGUGGCUUACCAAGGCUUCGACGGGUAGCCGGCCUGAGAGGGUGACCGGCCACAUUGGGACUGAGAUACGGCCCAGACUCCUACGGGAGGCAGCAGUGGGGAAUAUUGCACAAUGGGCGGAAGCCUGAUGCAGCAACGCCGCGUGCGGGAUGACGGCCUUCGGGUUGUAAACCGCUUUCGCCUGUGACGAAGCGUGAGUGACGGUAAUGGGUAAAGAAGCACCGGCUAACUACGUG
This 468-nucleotide ribosomal RNA is filed under the name uncultured bacterium. RNAcentral's name for it is "partial 16S ribosomal RNA". It matches the Rfam family "Bacterial small subunit ribosomal RNA", at positions 28 to 507 of the family's 1533-position model. The record is from RNAcentral.